GGCAGCAGCCUUUCCUCCUAACCUGAUCUUGUCAGAUCCCAGAAGCCAAGCAAGGUGGGCCCUGGUCAGUACUGGGAUGCAAAACCUCCCAGGAAAACCAGGUUGCUGCUGUAA
This 114-nucleotide ribosomal RNA is filed under the name Lepisosteus oculatus (spotted gar). The record is from RNAcentral. Lineage: Eukaryota; Metazoa; Chordata; Actinopteri; Semionotiformes; Lepisosteidae.